This 253-nucleotide ribosomal RNA is filed under the name uncultured bacterium. RNAcentral's name for it is "partial 16S ribosomal RNA". It matches the Rfam family "Bacterial small subunit ribosomal RNA", at positions 524 to 776 of the family's 1533-position model. The record is from RNAcentral.
UACGGGGGGGGCAAGCGUUGUUCGGAAUUACUGGGCGUAAAGGGUUCGUAGGCGGCCAACUAAGUCGGAUGUGAAAUCCCCAGGCUUAACCUGGGAACUGCAUCCGAUACUGGAUGGCUUGAAUCCGGGAGAGGGAUGCGGAAUUCCAGGUGUAGCGGUGAAAUGCGUAGAUAUCUGGAGGAACACCGGUGGCGAAGGCGGCAUCCUGGACCGGCAUUGACGCUGAGGAGCGAAAGCCAGGGGAGCAAACGGG